RNAcentral lists this ribosomal RNA (244 nucleotides) under uncultured bacterium. RNAcentral describes it as "partial 16S ribosomal RNA". It matches the Rfam family "Bacterial small subunit ribosomal RNA", at positions 524 to 764 of the family's 1533-position model. The record is from RNAcentral.
UACAGGAGGGUGCGAGCGUUUGUCCGGAAUCACUGGGCGUAAAGGGCGCGUAGGUGGUGGCUUAAGCGUGCGGUGAAAGCUCGGGCUCAACCCCGAGUCGGCCGUGCGAACUGGGCUCACUGGAGCAUAGUAGAGGCAGGUGGAAUUCCGGGUGUAGCGGUGGAAUGCGUAGAUAUUCGGAGGAACACCAGUGGCGAAAGCGGCGACCUGGUCCUUUACGUGACGCUGAGGCGCGAAAGCGUGG